UGAGGAAUUUUGGACAAUGGGCGCAAGCCUGAUCCAGCAAUGCCGCGUGCAGGAUGAAGGCCUUCGGGUUGUAAACUGCUUUUGUACGGAGCGAAAAGGUCUGCUCUAAUACGGUGGGCUCAUGACGGUACCGUAAGAAUAAGCACCGGCUAACUACGUGCCAGCAGCCGCGGUAAUACGUAGGGUGCGAGCGUUAAUCGGAAUUACUGGGCGUAAAGCGUGCGCAGGCUGGUAUAUAAGACAGAUGUGAAAUCCCCGGGCUCAACCUGAGACCUGCAUUUGUGACUGUAUAGCUAGUGUACGGUGGAGGGGGAUGGAAUUCCGAGUGUAGCAGUGAAAUACGUAGAAAUGCGGAGGAACACCGAUGACGAGGGCAAUCCCCUGGACCUGUACUGACACUCAUGCACGAAAGCGUGGGGAGCAAACA
Molecule: ribosomal RNA, 427 nt
Filed under: uncultured bacterium
Lineage: Bacteria
Description: bacterial SSU rRNA
Rfam family: Bacterial small subunit ribosomal RNA
Source: RNAcentral